UACGUAGGGGCAAGCGUUAUCCGGAUUUACUGGGUGUAAAGGGAGCACAGACGGCAGUGCAAGUCUGAUGUGAAAGCCCGGGGCUCAACCCCGGAACUGCAUUGGAAACUGUACAGCUUGAGUGUCGGAGAGGUAAGCGUAAUUCCUAGUGUAGCGGUGAAAUGCGUAGAUAUUAGGAGGAACACCGGUGGCGAAGGCGGCUUACUGGACGAUGACUGACGUUGAGGCUCGAAAGCGUGGGGAGCAAACAGGAUUAGAUACCCUGGUAGU
This 270-nucleotide ribosomal RNA is filed under the name uncultured prokaryote. RNAcentral describes it as "partial 16S ribosomal RNA". It matches the Rfam family "Bacterial small subunit ribosomal RNA", at positions 524 to 794 of the family's 1533-position model. The record is from RNAcentral.